AGUAGAGUAAGCUAAACAAGCUAUUGGGCCCAUACCCCAAAAAUGUUGGUAAAACACCUUCCCCUACUA
This 69-nucleotide transfer RNA is filed under the name Uracentron flaviceps. Its description in RNAcentral is "tRNA-Met". Lineage: Eukaryota; Metazoa; Chordata; Lepidosauria; Squamata; Tropiduridae. The record is from RNAcentral.